CCUCUGUUCUGGCGACAUUAUGCAAGUCAACAAGAAAAUCCAGUGGAAGCUCUGAAGAAAGGGCAGUUUCCUACCAAAGCAGAAGUAUCUGAACUGAUGUCCUUAAGCCUUGCAGCUCGUGGUCCCCAGGAAGAGCCAUGGAAGCCACAAACCUUUGCUCACACCUGCUCCACCGUGCUCUAGAGGGAACAGGAGCCUAAAAUAGAAAAGCAACCCAACUCAGAAGUCAGCAACAUCAAGAUGAAAGGACUUGGGCUUGACAAUGCUUUGAAACUAGUCUUCUUGCUUUUUAAAAUUGUUUCUGUGAGAGACAAUGGAAAGUAAAGAAUAUGUGCUUGAGUGCGUACACACUCAGUGUCAUGCCAGGGUGUUCCUUGUCUUCAUAAGAACCCCCAUUUUCAUUGGAAAAAAUAGGUUAACCAAUGGUCCCAAAGGCAACAAGUAGGCAUAAGUGCCUGCCCUAAUUCUAGGUGUUGAGAACUUACCUUUUGAAUCUGGAUUAUACAAUUCUUUCUUAAAGAUUUGUGAAUAAAACAUUCUGUACAUAUUCUGACACUGUGACAUUAAAAUACAUUAAACUAUGAA
Long non-coding RNA from Grammomys surdaster, 585 nucleotides. RefSeq lists it as uncharacterized. Lineage: Eukaryota; Metazoa; Chordata; Mammalia; Rodentia; Muridae. The transcript has 2 exons. The record is from RefSeq and is a predicted model, not a curated record.